CCUACGGGGUGCAGCAGUGGGGAAUAUUGCACAAUGGGGGAAACCCUGAUGCAGCGACGCCGCGUGGGUGACGAAGUAUUUCGGUAUGUAAAGCCCUAUCAGCAGGGAAGAAGAUGACAGUACCUGACCAAGAAGCCCCGGCUAACUACGUGCCAGCAGCCGCGGUAAUACGUAGGGGGCAAGCGUUAUCCGGAUUUACUGGGUGUAAAGGGAGCGUAGGUGGCAUGGCAAGCCAGAAGUGAAAACCCGGGGCUUAACCCCGCGGAUUGCUUUUGGAACUGUCAGGCUGGAGUGCAGGAGGGGCAGGCGGAAUUCCUGGUGUAGCGGUGAAAUGCGUAGAUAUCAGGAGGAACACCGGUGGCGAAGGCGGCCUGCUGGACUGUAACUGACACUGAGGCUCGAAAGCGUGGGGAGCAAACAGGAUUAGAUACCCGAGUAGUC
This 441-nucleotide ribosomal RNA is filed under the name uncultured bacterium. RNAcentral describes it as "partial 16S ribosomal RNA". It matches the Rfam family "Bacterial small subunit ribosomal RNA", at positions 338 to 795 of the family's 1533-position model. The record is from RNAcentral.